RNAcentral lists this ribosomal RNA (469 nucleotides) under uncultured Syntrophaceae bacterium. Its description in RNAcentral is "bacterial SSU rRNA". It matches the Rfam family "Bacterial small subunit ribosomal RNA", at positions 912 to 1382 of the family's 1533-position model. Lineage: Bacteria; Pseudomonadati; Thermodesulfobacteriota; Syntrophia; Syntrophales; Syntrophaceae. The record is from RNAcentral.
GACGGGGGCCCGCACAAGCGGUGGAGCAUGUGGUUUAAUUCGAUGCAACGCGAAGAACCUUACCUGGGCUUGACAUCCCGGGAAUCUCCUGGAAACAGGGAGUGCCCUUCGGGAACCCGGUGACAGGUGCUGCAUGGCUGUCGUCAGCUCGUGUCGUGAGAUGUUGGGUUAAGUCCCGCAACGAGCGCAACCCUUGUCUUUAAUUGCCAUCAUUUAGUUGGGCACUUUAAAGAGACUGCCGGUGUUAAGCCGGAGGAAGGUGGGGAUGACGUCAAGUCCUCAUGGCCUUUAUGCCCAGGGCUACACACGUGCUACAAUGGGCGGUACAAAGAGAAGCAACCUCGUGAGAGUGAGCAAAUCGCAGAAAGCCGGCCCCAGUUCAGAUUGAGGGCUGAAACUCGCCCUCAUGAAGUCGGAAUCGCUAGUAAUCGCGUAUCAGCAGGUCGCGGUGAAUACGUUCCCGGGUCUU